CCUACGGGAGGCAGCAGUCGGGAAUAUUGGACAAUGGGCGAAAGCCUGAUCCAGCCAUGCCGCGUGAGUGAUGAAGGCCCUAGGGUUGUAAAGCUCUUUUGUGCGGGAAGAUAAUGACGGUACCGCAAGAAUAAGCCCCGGCUAACUUCGUGCCAGCAGCCGCGGUAAU
This 169-nucleotide ribosomal RNA is filed under the name uncultured Rhodopseudomonas sp. RNAcentral describes it as "partial 16S ribosomal RNA". It matches the Rfam family "Bacterial small subunit ribosomal RNA", at positions 338 to 524 of the family's 1533-position model. The record is from RNAcentral. Lineage: Bacteria; Pseudomonadati; Pseudomonadota; Alphaproteobacteria; Hyphomicrobiales; Nitrobacteraceae.